Molecule: non-coding RNA, 634 nt
Organism: Neolamprologus brichardi
Lineage: Eukaryota; Metazoa; Chordata; Actinopteri; Cichliformes; Cichlidae
Source: RefSeq, a predicted model, not a curated record
AGCAGCUGGAGAAAACCAAAACCAAUAACAGGGUGUUGGAUGAAGACUUCUACAAGCAACCCUUCUCUGAGCUCAUUGGUUAUGUCACACAUAUUAACCAUCCUUGCUACCGCCUAGACCAGUUAAGUAAAAAUAUAAAACCCCAGAAUUUCAAAAUACUUUAUCAUUUUCACAGGGGUUAGAUGCAGUUCUGUCUGUGUAUGUGUUUAUAGUGCAUUGCAGAGGUACCCAGUUGAAUAGCACAAGAGUUAGAUCCAGAGCUUAGAGUUUGGUAUAAUGUUCCUCCUGUGAUGUUGUGGUCCUUCUAGUCCCUUGUGUAUUGUAGAUGGUUGUGAAAGUGAAUGCUCAUUAGCUUCUCACCUGCCCUAUUUUUCUUUGUGUACUGUGUUUAAGUUAUUAGCUCAGGUGGGGUGGAGACUACAAAAGAUCCUUUUAAGUAGAACCAAAGAAUAGCAUUGGAGUUUCAUGUUUAUGGGUGGGGUGUCACAAGAGUUUAGCCAUAUCUGUGGCUUGCAUCUCAAAUUGCCUUGUAAUAGUGGAACUGAUCCAUUUAAAUUUUUUUUAUUUUUAUUUAUUUAUUUUUGUUCUUGUUUGCAUUUGUUUAACUACAUAAGUAAUCUUUGUAAAGGCCUUU